UAGUCCACGCUGUAAACGAUGUCUACUAGCCGUUGGGAUACUUGAUAUCUUAGUGGCGCAGCUAACGCACUAAGUAGACCGCCUGGGGAGUACGGCCGCAAGGUUAAAACUCAAAUGAAUUGACGGGGGCCCGCACAAGCGGUGGAGCAUGUGGUUUAAUUCGAUGCAACGCGAAGAACCUUACCAGGUCUUGACAUCCAGAGAACUUACUAGAGAUAGUUUGGUGCCUUCGGGAGCUCUGUGACAGGUGCUGCAUGGCUGUCGUCAGCUCGUGUCGUGAGAUGUUGGGUUAAGUCCCGUAACGAGCGCAACCCUUGUCCUUAGUUGCCAGCACAUUAUGGUGGGGACUCUAAGGAGACUGCCGGUGACAAACCGGGAGGAAGGUGGGGGAUGACGUCAAGUCAUCAUGGGCCCUUAUGGGGCAGGGGCUACACACGUGCUACAAUGGGGU
RNAcentral lists this ribosomal RNA (451 nucleotides) under uncultured bacterium. RNAcentral's name for it is "bacterial SSU rRNA". It matches the Rfam family "Bacterial small subunit ribosomal RNA", at positions 791 to 1236 of the family's 1533-position model. The record is from RNAcentral.